Molecule: non-coding RNA, 29 nt
Filed under: Mus musculus (house mouse)
Lineage: Eukaryota; Metazoa; Chordata; Mammalia; Rodentia; Muridae
Source: RNAcentral
UGCCUAUUGCUGGGGUCCUAGUCAUGCCA